UCACAGGGGGGCAGGUCCUGUACACUGGUGUAGUAUGUAUGGUACAUAUAGGUGAUCAUAGUAAUGGAUGGGUCACAGGAGGGCAGGUCCUGUACACUGGUGUAGUAUGUAUAGUACAUAUAGGUGAUCAUAGUGAUGGAUGGGUCACAGAGGGGCAGGUCCUGUACACUGGUGUAGUAUGUAUAGUACAUAUAGGUGAUCAUAGUGAUGGAUGGGUCACAGAGGGGCAGGUCCUGUACACUGGUGUAGUAUGUAUGGUACAUAUAGGUGGUCAUAGUGAUGGAUGGGUCACAGAGGAGCAGCUCCUGUUCACUGGUGUAGUAUGUAUAGUACAUAUAGGUGAUCAUAGUGAUGGAUGGGUCACAGAGGGGCAGGUCCUGUACACUGGUGUAGUAUGUAUAGUACAUAUAGGUGAUCAUAGUGCUGGAUGGGUCACAGAGGAGCAGCUCCUGUUCACUGGUGUAGUAUGUAUGGUACAUAUAGGUGAUCAU
Long non-coding RNA from Bufo bufo (common toad), 491 nucleotides. RefSeq lists it as uncharacterized. The record is from RefSeq and is a predicted model, not a curated record. Lineage: Eukaryota; Metazoa; Chordata; Amphibia; Anura; Bufonidae. The transcript is spliced from 3 exons.